RNAcentral lists this ribosomal RNA (50 nucleotides) under Bacillus sp. 7705b. RNAcentral describes it as "partial 23S ribosomal RNA". The record is from RNAcentral. Lineage: Bacteria; Bacillati; Bacillota; Bacilli; Caryophanales; Bacillaceae.
UCGGGCGGGGAGACAGUGUCAGGUGGGCAGUUUGACUGGGGCGGUCGCCU